UCCCGAGCGUUNUCCGGAUUUAUUGGGCGUAAAGCGAGCGCAGGCGGUUAGAUAAGUCUGAAGUUAAAGGCUGUGGCUUAACCAUAGUACGCUUUGGAAACUGUUUAACUUGAGUGCAGAAGGGGAGAGUGGAAUUCCAUGUGUAGCGGUGAAAUGCGUAGAUAUAUGGAGGAACACCGGUGGCGAAAGCGGCUCUCUGGUCUGUAACUGACGCUGAGGCUCGAAAGCGUGGGGAGCGAACAGGAUUAGAUACCCUGGUAGUCCACGCCGUAAACGAUGAGUGCUAGGUGUUAGGCCCUUUCCGGGGCUUAGUGCCGCAGCUAACGCAUUAAGCACUCCGCCUGGGGAGUACGACCGCAAGGUUGAAACUCAAAGGAAUUGACGGGGGCCCGCACAAGCGGUGGAGCAUGUGGUUUAAUUCGAAGCAACGCGAAGAACCUUACCAGGUCUUGACAUCCCGAUGCCCGCUCUAGAGAUAGAGUUUUACUUCGGUACAUCGGUGACAGGUGGUGCAUGGUUGUCGUCAGCUCGUGUCGUGAGAUGUUGGGUUAAGUCCCGCAACGAGCGCAACCCUUAUUGUUAGUUGCCAUCAUUCAGUUGGGCACUCUAGCGAGACUGCCGGUAAUAAACCGGAGGAAGGUGGGGAUGACGUCAAAUCAUCAUGCCCCUUAUGACCUGGGCUACACACGUGCUACAAUGGCUGGUACAACGAGUCGCAAGUCGGUGACGGCAAGCUAAUCUCUUAAAGCCAGUCUCAGUUCGGAUUGUAGGCUGCAACUCGCCUACAUGAAGUCGGAAUCGCUAGUAAUCGCGGAUCAGCACGCCGCGGUGAAUACGUUCCCGGGCCUUGUACACACCGCCCGUCACACCACGAGAGUUUGUAACACCCGAAGUCGGUGAGGUANCCUUUUAGGAGCCA
This 919-nucleotide ribosomal RNA is filed under the name uncultured bacterium. Its description in RNAcentral is "bacterial SSU rRNA". It matches the Rfam family "Bacterial small subunit ribosomal RNA", at positions 532 to 1451 of the family's 1533-position model. The record is from RNAcentral.